Long non-coding RNA from Stegodyphus dumicola, 758 nucleotides. The record is from RefSeq and is a predicted model, not a curated record. NCBI's taxonomy places the organism in Eukaryota, Metazoa, Arthropoda, Arachnida, Araneae, Eresidae.
AUUCGUCUUCUCGUUAAUAAUUAAUGUUGGCGCUUCAGGAUGUAGCAGAAAGUCUCGAAGUCGUAUCUUUUAUUAUUUAAAAGAUUAGCCUGGCUUUAGCUUGAACUCUUGUUUCUUCUUGUUUUUCGCUUUUAGCGCCCUGGAGAAAAAUAGAAGUAAUUCUAAAGUAUCAGAACAGGUCUUCCCUAGAUGUUGCGUUUAGCAUAAAUUGCGCGACCCGAUGGAAAAUCCCCAAUCAUUCUUCUCAACCAACAUGCUCCACCAACUCUAGUCAACCCACUGAUGCAAGAUGAAACUGCUGCUACAGCGUCAUAGAUGUUGUUCUUUCAAGCGUUUAGCGAUAAAAGAAAUUCUUACUUUUUGUGUUCUUUAUCGUUUGCUGGUAGGGAAAGGAACAAAACCCUGGGGGCAGUGACCUUGUUUCUCCUUUCUGCUAUGAUAAUGGAGGAAACAUCAGCGAAAGUUUUAUGAGAACCAAGUCUAGAUUAUUCAGAAACAUUUUAUCCUUGGAGGCAAAUGAUACGUGCAUUGGCGCAAGUAUAAUAUGACACUUUCAAGUUUCUAUCUUAAGCGGAGUCCCAAACGAUUAUGACUAGAAGCACGCAGAAUGGAAGAACAAAGUGCACUUGUUAUAUUUCAGUGAUUGGAAUUUUCUAAAUAACAAGGAAAGGAUUCUGAGUUUCGGAUGAAAGGAAAUAUUGAGAUAUAUUGUUUUUGUGCUGUGAUGAUGAUGUGGAAAAUAAAGAUAGUUCAUGAAA